Molecule: non-coding RNA, 483 nt
Organism: Poecilia reticulata (guppy)
Lineage: Eukaryota; Metazoa; Chordata; Actinopteri; Cyprinodontiformes; Poeciliidae
Source: RefSeq, a predicted model, not a curated record
AUAGUUGGCAGUUUGCUAAGGUACUUCACAGGAUUAACAAGUGAAAAAAUAGGCUGAGUUUUGUUUGAGAAUUGUGUCAGUCUGAGUUACAUGAAUAUGCUAUCUCUUUUUAAUUAAGUAACAAUGCAAAACUUAUACCAUAUUUAUAUUAUGUUUUCUUCUCAAAUUUGUCUAAGAAAUUAAGAGAACCUGUCCAAAAAAGUGACCAGUUGCUCCAACUCUGGGGUCUUUCUAAGAGACAGCUACAUUGUCAUGUUUGGAGUUUUAAAAAAUGUCAAAAGAGAGAGGGAGGAACCUACUGCCUGUCACGGAAGACCACAAAUCUGUCAGCAAACUUCAUCUGUCAGGCUCGUUGCCCAAACUUGUUGCUCAAGAGCUUCUGGCAUGCCAUAACAAACAAGAGUGUGUAGUGACUCAUUGCCUCAAAUAACUGGUUAAACUGUAUAAAAAGGAGGAGUAAAUAAUAAACACUGUAAACUUUGA